UACGGAGGAUGCGAGCGUUAUCCGGAUUUAUUGGGUUUAAAGGGUGCGUAGGCGGGCUGUUAAGUCAGCGGUAAAAGCCCGGGGCUCAACCCCGGCGAGCCGUUGAAACUGGCUGUCUUGAGAUGUCGAGAGGUAUGCGGAAUGCGCAGUGUAGCGGUGAAAUGCUUAGAUAUUGCGCAGAACUCCGAUUGCGAAGGCAGCAUACCGGCGGCGAUCUGACGCUGAGGCACGAAAGCGCGGGUAUCGAACAGG
This 252-nucleotide ribosomal RNA is filed under the name uncultured bacterium. RNAcentral's name for it is "partial 16S ribosomal RNA". It matches the Rfam family "Bacterial small subunit ribosomal RNA", at positions 524 to 776 of the family's 1533-position model. The record is from RNAcentral.